AUGCUCAAAGGUCCAGAGCGCAGAGACAAGGGUAGCCAAGAGCCAAGUUAUCGCUCCAGCGGCGCAGGCCUCCAGGACGGAGCAAUCGGGAACUCCGAUUUCAAGGACGGAGCAAUCGGGGACUUCGAUGUCAAGGACGGAGCAAUCGGGGACUCCGAUGUCAAGGACGGAGCAAUCAGGGACGCCAAUCUCGCGGACGGAGCAAUCGGGUACUCCGAUCUCGCGGACGGAGCAAUCGGAGACUCCCAUCUCGAGACACUCGGUAGCGGACCUGCGGAGCUUCCUGCCCGCUCGACGUACCCGAAGCUGAAGCAGCCGAAAGACUUCCAGCCGAAGCUGAGCAACUACUACGAGAACUUCAAGCUCCGCUCGGGCGAGCCGCGGGUCCAGCGCAGCAUCUCGGAGCCCUCGGGGUCGCAAGCCCCGAGCCUCUCCUCCACCCCCGACGCAGGGGCCAUGCACCCGGAGCCCAUUCCACCCCGCAACGAGUCCCGCACCCGACUCACCGACCCCUACUCCCAGUUCUUCAACGACAAGCGCCGCACCUUCCACGAGGGCGAGACCUUCGCUCCGUUGAGCAAGUCCUUCUUCCGCUCGUCCAACCCCCAGCUAAACGAGGAGAGCAAAAGCAACGACCGGAGCUGGCGGGCAUCCAGCUAUUGUGAAUUCACCGACGAUGGAGGAAAGACACUCGACACUCGGAACUGCCAGACGCUGAAGCGGGACUCUAGAACCCAAGCUCAGACUAAAUCAGCGACAUACGUUCGGUGUAACUCGAGCAUUCCUUUCUUCCACGAGAGCGAUACCAAAGAGUCUGAGAAGCCCACCAACAACACGUUCUACUCGACGACCACGACGAAUCUCAAACCGAGAGUGUUUCCGUUCCCUCUCGAGUCGAGCGCAGGAAAUACCAAAGAGUAUGGUAGAGAAGUUGUGGAAACCUCGGAGGAUUACCAGGUGGGUGAGGCCACGAGAGAAGAAUGUUUCUCUCCCUAUGAUAAUCUCUCCGAUGGCCACGGGGAGGGUUUUUGUGGAAUGAAGAGAUCCACCGACGCGGAGGAGGUGUUUCAGCCCGUCAGAGGUGGCAAGAUAUUCAACCGAGCCACGCAGAGGUGGGAGUUCUCCGCCGCUCCGGUCACCUCCGAUCCCGCCUCGUCCUCCGAGCUGAAUCAAAGCGAAGAUCACAUCGAUAGUACUGAAACAUCGGUAACGGGAUGUUCGUAUGGAGAUGCGAUCCCUCAGAGCAAGAGCGAGCAAGAAUGUAGAGCCGAAAAAUCCGUGAGCGGAUCCUCGGCGGAGUAUCGAGAUAUCACGAAAGAAAACGUUUCCUCUAAGAACAUUAAAUCGAGCAUCACGAAGUUCUCGGACGAAGAAAGAAGCGACGGAGCCGCUGUCAUUUUGAACAACCGCAGAAUCAAUCUGAACGAGAGCAAAACGGAUGACAGUAAAUUGCAUUCGAAUUUGCAAAGUUAUUUAUUCGAGGGAAGCCAGAAAACCCAGCAUGCCGGCCAUCGAAGUGCGAACUCUGCGGAGGAGGCAAAUCUAGAAUCGAUGAAUUUUGAUGUUUACAUCAAUCGUUUCGAUACUUCGGUCAAUUCGGAGGGUUAUUCAAAAUAUCAAUCGCAGAUCGGUCCUCCGACUGGAACUCCGAAACAAUUUAAUCAAGAAAACUCAAAUUCUCGACGGGUUGACCCUCAAUAUUCACCGAUCAAAAUCGAAAAUCAGUCUCAAUCAAUAUCAAACGAUAGUCAGGAUGAUGUCUGCUUCAAUGAAAUCAAAUACAACUUGAGUAAAAUUUGUAACGACGGGGCGAGAUACACCACUGCUGCAGAAAAAACGCAAACAGUGAAAAAUGUCAAUUUCGAGAAGUCGCAGCUGAAGAGCGAAGCAAAUAUUUCUCAACAAAGUUACAAAAAUUUAGAACAAGUAAGGACAGAGAAACAAUUUGUGUCCGAUGAGAGAGACUUUUACGCUCAAUCCCAAAGUAGAAAGUCACAUUUUACAACGGAACAAUCGUAUAGUGAAAAUAGCUCGAUUGAACAAAGUUCUAUCGCUGAAAGAUCGGUAUAUAAAGAAAAUCAGUUCUAUGAGAACUUUAUGACUGCAGAUCAGCACGACAUAACGAGACAUUUCCAGCAUGUUUUCUCCAACCCACCUCAAACGGUGGAAGAAUCUAAAAGAGCCCGCAGCCCUGAAAAAACCAAACCAGUCACCUCGAGUCAAACAAUUCGCAAUAGCCCCGAAAAGCCGAACCGAUUCAGUCCCGAAAGAACAGCUCAAUUGAAGCCUGCGAACCGAACACUAACAAACAUUCAAGAUACGGCAUUCAAAAGUCCCGAAAAAGAGCAACCAUAUCAAACCGAACAUGUAUUGCCCCCUCCCGUAAUCCCAAACCUUUCUUCCAAGGAGACCAAAUUCAACAGCCUUGAAAAACCACCGCCGUAUCAACCUGAAAAAGCAUUGCCCCUUUUCCAACCACGGAUCUCGAGGAUGCAAAGUUCAACAUCGUUGAAACGACGCCAUAUCAACCUGAAAGAGCGCUGCCCCCCAUUCCAGCGACAAGCCAUCGGCCUCCCAUCAAACCAACUGUCAACGAGUAAGUUUCAAUUUUUAAUCUUUUACUUUUAA
RNAcentral lists this long non-coding RNA (2628 nucleotides) under Bemisia tabaci. RNAcentral describes it as "lncRNA ENSSSA2NGG000692". Lineage: Eukaryota; Metazoa; Arthropoda; Insecta; Hemiptera; Aleyrodidae. The record is from RNAcentral.